RNAcentral lists this transfer RNA (69 nucleotides) under Ictidomys tridecemlineatus (thirteen-lined ground squirrel). RNAcentral's name for it is "Spermophilus tridecemlineatus (thirteen-lined ground squirrel) tRNA". It matches the Rfam family "tRNA". Rfam says of the family: Transfer RNA (tRNA) molecules are approximately 80 nucleotides in length. Their secondary structure includes four short double-helical elements and three loops (D, anti-codon, and T loops). Further hydrogen bonds mediate the characteristic L-shaped molecular structure. tRNAs have two regions of fundamental functional importance: the anti-codon, which is responsible for specific mRNA codon recognition, and the 3' end, to which the tRNAs corresponding amino acid is attached (by aminoacyl-tRNA synthetases). tRNAs cope with the degeneracy of the genetic code in two manners: having more than one tRNA (with a specific anti-codon) for a particular amino acid; and 'wobble' base-pairing, i.e. permitting non-standard base-pairing at the 3rd anti-codon position. The record is from Rfam by way of RNAcentral. Lineage: Eukaryota; Metazoa; Chordata; Mammalia; Rodentia; Sciuridae.
GGGGUUGUGGCUCAAUGGUACAGCGCUUGCCUAACAUGCAUGAGGCACUGGGUUCAAUCCCCGGCGCCA